UACGGAGGGAGCUAGCGUUUUUCGGAAUUACUGGGCGUAAAGGGCGCGUAGGCGGUUAAUUAAGUUGAGAGUGAAAGCCCAAGGCUUAACUUUGGAAUUGCUUUCAAAACUGAUUGACUAGAGAAUGGUAUGGGAUGGUGGAAUUUCUAGUGUAGAAGUGAAAUUCUUAGAUAUUAGAAGGAACACCGGUGGCGAAGGCGACCAUCUGGGCCAUUUCUGACGCUGAGGCGCGAAAGCGUGGGGAGCAAACAGG
RNAcentral lists this ribosomal RNA (253 nucleotides) under uncultured bacterium. RNAcentral describes it as "partial 16S ribosomal RNA". It matches the Rfam family "Bacterial small subunit ribosomal RNA", at positions 524 to 776 of the family's 1533-position model. The record is from RNAcentral.